Long non-coding RNA from Raphanus sativus (radish), 1178 nucleotides. RefSeq lists it as uncharacterized. The transcript has 4 exons. The record is from RefSeq and is a predicted model, not a curated record. Lineage: Eukaryota; Viridiplantae; Streptophyta; Magnoliopsida; Brassicales; Brassicaceae.
AUACAAUCUCAUUCCACCUAAAUUCUGAAAUACAUCCACUACUAACUAAAAGAUAUUAUUAUUAUUUGUUCUUGUUUAUUCUCCAGAGUCCGAGAAUAAAGUUUGGUGAAGUGAUCAAAGUUUGAUUACAAGGAAGCGGUGGAUCGGUGUAUACCCACAAGUAAUAUGGCCGAUGCUUUAGUUGUUGAUCGGAAGAAGAGAAGGAGACAUGGGGCUCUCUGAAAAUCAUGUUCGAAGAGAAUGGAUCUAGGAUAAAGUUGAUCAGCCAUCUUGGUUUUGGUUUGCGUUCUGGGGAAAAGGAUCAGGCAGUGAAUGGGUGCUCUUCAGAUCUGAAUGGCAUUGGAUUGGACUUGGAGGAUACUACAGUACAUGCAGUGAAAGCUGAGACAAACUUUGUUGCCAACGUAGAAGAAACUCAUGAAAGGUCAGAAGAAGAAGAAGAAAGUUUCGGCCUAGAUUUUAAUGAUGCCAUCCAGAGUGCUUUGGUUGUUGGAGAUUACAAGGAAGGGGCUGAUGAUGGUGAAUUUUGCGUCUGGCGAUUAGUUAAGUCUUCAGAUCUUUCUCAUUUUCACUUCGGAAGUGUAUUGGUUCUGCUACGCAAGGUGGAAGCCCUUUGAAUAGAAAAGUUCAACAUGUAUCAUCAUCUACCUCAUCCGAUGGGACUAAUGGUGUGAUUGCAAUGGAGUGGUGUCCAAGUAGCAGCUCGUAUCUUCUUACCUGUGCUAAAGACAGACAAACCACUUGCUUGUACACAAAUAAAGCAGAGGUAAGGAAAAUGAACAGAUUAAAAUUUUGUAUUUUUGCCUUCAGUAUUUGAAAUAAUGUCAAAAACAGAUAUUCUUAAGCUGUGGGUAUUUUAACUGACAUGUCUCAUAUGCCUUUGUCUUAAGGUUUUGCUCUUAAGACUUUUGUAAGCCGUAGGUUUUUUAAUCGUAUAUUUCUUUUUCUGAAGAGUUUGUAAGCCGUGAGUUUUGAACUGUGACCCUGUCUUAUGUCUUUGUCAAAAGACUUUGACUUUUGUAAGCCGUGGGUAGUGAAAUAAGAAUCUGUUAUUCUGUUUUGAUUUGUAGUGUUUGUCUUUAGACGGAUUAAACCAUUGGUCGUUAUACUCCAUUUCAUCCAGAUGAUCAAAAACAUAUUUUCUUAAGCCGUGGGUAGUAAAGACUUCUAAGCCGUGG